GACGAACGCUGGCGGCGUGCUUAACACAUGCAAGUCGAACGGAAAGGCCCUGCUUUUGUGGGGUGCUCGAGUGGCGAACGGGUGAGUAACACGUGAGUAACCUGCCCUUGACUUUGGGAUAACUUCAGGAAACUGGGGCUAAUACCGGAUAGGAGCUCCUGCUGCAUGGUGGGGGUUGGAAAGUUUCGGCGGUUGGGGAUGGACUCGCGGCUUAUCAGCUUGUUGGUGGGGUAGUGGCUUACCAAGGCUUUGACGGGUAGCUGGCCUGAGAGGGUGACCGGCCACAUUGGGACUGAGAUACGGCCCAGACUCCUACGGGAGGCAGCAGUGGGGAAUAUUGCACAAUGGGCGGAAGCCUGAUGCAGCAACGCCGCGUGCGGGAUGACGGCCUUCGGGUUGUAAACCGCUUUCGCCUGUGACGAAGCGUGAGUGACGGUAAUGGGUAAAGAAGCACCGGCUAACUACGUG
Molecule: ribosomal RNA, 468 nt
Filed under: uncultured bacterium
Lineage: Bacteria
Description: partial 16S ribosomal RNA
Rfam family: Bacterial small subunit ribosomal RNA
Source: RNAcentral